GAUGAACGCUAGCUACAGGCUUAACACAUGCAAGUCGAGGGGAAACGAUAGAGAAAGCUUGCUUUUUCUAGGCGUCGACCGGCGCACGGGUGAGUAACGCGUAUCCAACCUGCCCAUCACUUGGGGAUAACCUUGCGAAAGUAAGACUAAUACCCAAUGAUAUCUCUAGAAGACAUCUGAAGGAGAUUAAAGAUUUAUCGGUGAAGGAUGGGGAUGCGUCUGAUUAGCUUGUUGGCGGGGUAACGGCCCACCAAGGCGACGAUCAGUAGGGGUUCUGAGAGGAAGGUCCCCCACAUUGGAACUGAGACACGGUCCAAACGCCUACGGGAGGCAGCAGUGAGGAAUAUUGGUCAAUGGACGAGAGUCUGAACCAGCCAAGUAGCGUGCAGGAUGACGGCCCUAUGGGUUGUAAACUGCUUUUAUAAGGGAAUAAAGUGAGUCUCGUGAGACUUUUUGCAUGUACCUUAUGAAUAAGGACCGGCUAAUUCCGUGCCAGCCGCCGCCGUAA
RNAcentral lists this ribosomal RNA (508 nucleotides) under uncultured bacterium. RNAcentral describes it as "partial 16S ribosomal RNA". It matches the Rfam family "Bacterial small subunit ribosomal RNA", at positions 28 to 523 of the family's 1533-position model. The record is from RNAcentral.